This 303-nucleotide ribosomal RNA is filed under the name uncultured bacterium. RNAcentral describes it as "bacterial SSU rRNA". It matches the Rfam family "Bacterial small subunit ribosomal RNA", at positions 355 to 673 of the family's 1533-position model. The record is from RNAcentral.
UGGGGAAUAUUGGGCAAUGGGCGCAAGCCUGACCCAGCAAUGCCGCGUGAAGGAAGAAGGCUUUCGGGUUGUAAACUUCUUUGACAGGGGAAGAGCAGAAGACGGUACCCUGAAAACAAGCCACGGCUAACUACGUGCCAGCAGCCGCGGUAAUACGUAGGUGGCAAGCGUUGUCCGGAUUUACUGGGUGUAAAGGGCGUGUAGCCGGGAAGGCAAGUCAGAUGUGAAAUCCGGAGGCUCAACCUCCGAAUUGCAUUUGAAACUGUUUUUCUUGAGUACUGGAGAGGCAGACGGAAUUCCUUG